This 1604-nucleotide ribosomal RNA is filed under the name Staphylococcus aureus. Its description in RNAcentral is "partial 23S ribosomal RNA". It matches the Rfam family "Bacterial large subunit ribosomal RNA", at positions 1302 to 2904 of the family's 2925-position model. The record is from RNAcentral. Lineage: Bacteria; Bacillati; Bacillota; Bacilli; Caryophanales; Staphylococcaceae.
GUGAGUAGCGAAAGACGGGUGAGAAUCCCGUCCACCGAUUGACUAAGGUUUCCAGAGGAAGGCUCGUCCGCUCUGGGUUAGUCGGGUCCUAAGCUGAGGCCGACAGGCGUAGGCGAUGGAUAACAGGUUGAUAUUCCUGUACCACCUAUAAUCGUUUUAAUCGAUGGGGGGACGCAGUAGGAUAGGCGAAGCGUGCGAUUGGAUUGCACGUCUAAGCAGUAAGGCUGAGUAUUAGGCAAAUCCGGUACUCAUUAAGGCUGAGCUGUGAUGGGGAGAAGACAUUGUGUCUUCGAGUCGUUGAUUUCACACUGCCGAGAAAAGCCUCUAGAUAGAAAAUAGGUGCCCGUACCGCAAACCGACACAGGUAGUCAAGAUGAGAAUUCUAAGGUGAGCGAGCGAACUCUCGUUAAGGAACUCGGCAAAAUGACCCCGUAACUUCGGGAGAAGGGGUGCUCUUUAGGGUUAACGCCCAGAAGAGCCGCAGUGAAUAGGCCCAAGCGACUGUUUAUCAAAAACACAGGUCUCUGCUAAACCGUAAGGUGAUGUAUAGGGGCUGACGCCUGCCCGGUGCUGGAAGGUUAAGAGGAGUGGUUAGCUUCUGCGAAGCUACGAAUCGAAGCCCCAGUAAACGGCGGCCGUAACUAUAACGGUCCUAAGGUAGCGAAAUUCCUUGUCGGGUAAGUUCCGACCCGCACGAAAGGCGUAACGAUUUGGGCACUGUCUCAACGAGAGACUCGGUGAAAUCAUAGUACCUGUGAAGAUGCAGGUUACCCGCGACAGGACGGAAAGACCCCGUGGAGCUUUACUGUAGCCUGAUAUUGAAAUUCGGCACAGCUUGUACAGGAUAGGUAGGAGCCUUUGAAACGUGAGCGCUAGCUUACGUGGAGGCGCUGGUGGGAUACUACCCUAGCUGUGUUGGCUUUCUAACCCGCACCACUUAUCGUGGUGGGAGACAGUGUCAGGCGGGCAGUUUGACUGGGGCGGUCGCCUCCUAAAAGGUAACGGAGGCGCUCAAAGGUUCCCUCAGAAUGGUUGGAAAUCAUUCAUAGAGUGUAAAGGCAUAAGGGAGCUUGACUGCGAGACCUACAAGUCGAGCAGGGUCGAAAGACGGACUUAGUGAUCCGGUGGUUCCGCAUGGAAGGGCCAUCGCUCAACGGAUAAAAGCUACCCCGGGGAUAACAGGCUUAUCUCCCCCAAGAGUUCACAUCGACGGGGAGGUUUGGCACCUCGAUGUCGGCUCAUCGCAUCCUGGGGCUGUAGUCGGUCCCAAGGGUUGGGCUGUUCGCCCAUUAAAGCGGUACGCGAGCUGGGUUCAGAACGUCGUGAGACAGUUCGGUCCCUAUCCGUCGUGGGCGUAGGAAAUUUGAGAGGAGCUGUCCUUAGUACGAGAGGACCGGGAUGGACAUACCUCUGGUGUACCAGUUGUCGUGCCAACGGCAUAGCUGGGUAGCUAUGUGUGGACGGGAUAAGUGCUGAAAGCAUCUAAGCAUGAAGCCCCCCUCAAGAUGAGAUUUCCCAACUUCGGUUAUAAGAUCCCUCAAAGAUGAUGAGGUUAAUAGGUUCGAGGUGGAAGCAUGGUGACAUGUGGAGCUGACGAAUACUAA